GAGCAUUUAACUUCGAUCAUUUUCCUUUAUAGCAUCCAUUAAAAGUUUCACACACGAGAAGGAGCACCUAGAUUGCAUAGCUCCCUUUACUUUGCCCCUAAUUUUGAAGAGGAGAAACAAAAAACAACAUUUGAUAAUUUCAGUGUGAUAUGGUAUCUUCAUUAAAGAAGUAUUAAAACUCUUUCUACGCAUUUCUAAUUGUGUACUUCGUAGAUUUAUUGUCAACUUACCUUUUUUUGUUGUUGUGCUUCUUCUUAGGAGUUUUUCUAGAUAACAAAGAAAAGUAAAUAAAAUGAACUCUACGAUUAUAAAAAAAGUAAAGAAUAAAUAACUAGUUCAGCACAAAUAAAGAUUCUAUUCAAAACAAACAAAUAAAGUGUGAUAGCAAGGUUCACAUGGCCAAAACCGUCACUCUUACCUUGGAAUACCUUGAAACAAUGUGUAUGUAUCUUCCAUAUAUAGUUUUUGUCUCAUUUCCCUAUAACAUAAUUAUGAGAUAAUCCUAUCCCAACAUGCUUUACCCCAACAACCAUAUCCUCAAGUCUUGGUUAUACAACAAUUUCCAUCACAUCCUUGUUCUAUCGAUCCUAAAAUACAAUAAUUAUAACUGUGUUGCUUAUCUUUCUAGCCCUCUGCCAUGUCUGUUUAGCUUCCUGUAGGCAUGCGGUAUUAACUUUUCUCCUUUGUAAAGUACCCAAAAAUUCCAUCAACUUUUUGUCAAGGAGCCUAUGUUUCAGCUACCUACAUGAAUUUGUCUCCCGUGGACUAGCUUAUUUACUGUCAUCCGUGCACGACCCGAGAACCCUUUCUUAUUUCGCACUACAUCAGGGCACUGAAAUAUAUUCCUGACAAAACUCUUUGUAUAAUUUAAAAGUUGAAGAAAAUCUAAACGGAAAAAGCAAGAAAACCAAGUUGAACAUUCUCGAUCUCUGACAAUGUGGCCUCCUACUUCUUUUCAUUAUCAAGAGGUUCCCUAGAUAUUAAAGAGAAAACAAAGAAAAAAUAUGAACUACGAUUAUAAAAAUUAAAGCAAAAAAAAACUAGCUCAGCACAUAUUAAGAUUCCAAUCAAAAAAACAAACAAAAAAAGUGGUGUUCAAUGAUGAUCUCUCACAUAUCAUGUGCACAUGAUACUCUUAUUAUGUGCGGCGGAAACGCUGGACAACGACUAUAUAUAAAUUAUAAGGUACAGCUAAAUGUUAUUGAGUGAAAACUCUCUUUUAAAUAUAUGUUAGUUGCAGCUAAAUCAUAAGCUAGAGAGAAAUAUAGGAAAACCUUCAUUUCAUCAUUCCUACUGCCAUAACCAUAUUCCCGUGCCAUUUAGCGAAAAUCGUCACUAUCUUUAUCUACAUGAAGAUCUCCCCCAAUAAAGAUAAGUUGGUCGCAGACACUUAAUUUUAGCUUCUGCAUCAAAUCCA
RNAcentral lists this long non-coding RNA (1417 nucleotides) under Nicotiana benthamiana. RNAcentral describes it as "long non-coding RNA (NBEN_LNC038828)". The record is from RNAcentral. Lineage: Eukaryota; Viridiplantae; Streptophyta; Magnoliopsida; Solanales; Solanaceae.